UUAGGAGCAGAUCUCCUGAGGAUCCUUCCAUAGAGACACUUAUCGAGGCCUUUGCCGCCCUGCAAGGGGCUACUACCACGACCAUAAAUAACGGUAGGGCAAGUCAGUAAUGGCGACAUGAUCGAAUUGCGGGAAGCCUUAAAGCCGGUAGUACUAACUGCUGCCAGAAAUGGUGGCAGGGCCUAUGCUAACUACAUAGGGGAGUAAGAAUCUACCUGGAUGCACAAUAGGUAAUCCGCAGCGAAGCCCCUACGGCCCACCGGCUACGGGGAACGUUCACAGACUAAGUGGUUAUGGGCACCUGGUGUGCUUAAGAUAUAGUCGGGUCCUGGGGGAAACUCCAGGGUUGAAGUCACUACGGCGGGGGGACGUCCGCGUCUCCCGGCCGAGCGAAACCGUUCCGUAGGUGAACCUGCGGAAGGAUCAUUA
Molecule: ribosomal RNA, 429 nt
Filed under: Asperopilum juncicola
Lineage: Eukaryota; Fungi; Ascomycota; Leotiomycetes; Helotiales; Lachnaceae
Description: partial 18S ribosomal RNA
Rfam family: Group I catalytic intron (bases 73-345)
About the family: Group I catalytic introns are large self-splicing ribozymes. They catalyse their own excision from mRNA, tRNA and rRNA precursors in a wide range of organisms.
Source: RNAcentral